ACAGAGGUUCCAAGCGUUGUUCGGAUUCAUUGGGCGUAAAGGGUGCGUAGGCGGCGCUGUAAGUCGGAUGUGAAAUCUCAGGGCUCAACCCUGAAAUUGCAUUCGAUACUGCAGUGCUCGAGGACUGGAGAGGAGACUGGAAUUCACGGUGUAGCAGUGAAAUGCGUAGAUAUCGUGAGGAAGACCAGUGGCGAAGGCGGGUCUCUGGACAGUUCCUGACGCUGAGGCACGAAGGCCAGGGGAGCGAACGGGAUUAGAUACCCCGGUAGUCCUGGCAGUAAACGGUGCACGUUUGGUGUGGGAGGAUUCGACCCCUUCCGUGCCGGAGCUAACGCGUUAAACGUGCCGCCUGGGGAGUACGGUCGCAAGAUUA
This 373-nucleotide ribosomal RNA is filed under the name uncultured bacterium. RNAcentral describes it as "bacterial SSU rRNA". It matches the Rfam family "Bacterial small subunit ribosomal RNA", at positions 525 to 896 of the family's 1533-position model. The record is from RNAcentral.